RNAcentral lists this ribosomal RNA (449 nucleotides) under uncultured bacterium. RNAcentral describes it as "partial 16S ribosomal RNA". It matches the Rfam family "Bacterial small subunit ribosomal RNA", at positions 29 to 523 of the family's 1533-position model. The record is from RNAcentral.
AACGAACGCUGGCGGCAUGCCUAACACAUGCAAGUCGAACGAGACCUUCGGGUCUAGUGGCGCACGGGUGCGUAACGCGUGGGAAUCUGCCCUUGGGUUCGGAAUAACUCAGAGAAAUUUGAGCUUAUACCGGAUGAUGACGUAAGUCCAAAGAUUUAUCGCCCAAGGAUGAGCCCGCGUAGGAUUAGCUAGUUGGUGAGGUAAAGGCUCACCAAGGCGACGAUCCUUAGCUGGUCUGAGAGGAUGAUCAGCCACACUGGGACUGAGACACGGCCCAGACUCCUACGGGAGGCAGCAGUGGGGAAUAUUGGACAAUGGGCGAAAGCCUGAUCCAGCAAUGCCGCGUGAGUGAUGAAGGCCUUAGGGUUGUAAAGCUCUUUUACCCGGGAUGAUAAUGACAGUACCGGGAGAAUAAGCUCCGGCUAACUCCGUGCCAGCAGCCGCCGUAA